GAUAAUGCAAGUGUUUAACAGAUGCUUCACUAUUAAAAUAUUUUCCCCCCAAGUCUCAAAUAUUGAAGAAUCUCUAACCAGGGACACCAGUCCCAACGAAGACCUUGGGCGAUUUCAAAGUGCGGGCACCUCGAUUCCCCGAAUCUGUAGUGUGGCUGGUAUCGGUGUUUCCCUGGUUUAACUAGCCUGCUUGAAGGCGCAGAUCAUUCAUGGGGAAGUAAAACCGAAACCAGUCCUCUCCACCCCCUGCGGGUCUUCACUUUCCCAGUCUACAUCUGCCUGUGACUCCAGAAAGACAAACUGCAGAUUGGCCAAGGUCCAGCCUAAAUGUUACCUCCUCCAGGGAGCCUUUCCAGAUACUGCUUCUCCUCUCUCCCCCAACUCCCUCCCACAAAUGAAGUAUUCUCUUCUGAAUUCCUUCCUGGUGCUGUCACUUGUAUUGUUUUGGGUAGAUCUCUGGGCAUGCAUAUGUCACCUUCUGUGACUGUGGGUUUCUUGACAACCUAAUCAAUGCAUUGAACAAAGGAGAUGUUUAGACAACCCAUAUAAAAUGAAUGACUAAGAGAAAUCGGGUGAAUACCGUCUACCCCAAUUGCAAUCAGAUUAGUUUCCUCUAUUUUGAAAACGAUUAGAACUAGUAGAGGAGUUAAAUGUCGCCCACUAGGGAACAAAUCUUCAUCUCCAAGCCGUCCUCUGGCUCGAUCGGGUCUGCACUGGGUCUCAUCAACUUACGCUGGCUCAGAGGGAGGCUCAGCCACAGCCUGGCCUUUCUGGUGCCCACUCCCAACAUCCUGAGCUCCGAGUCGGAGCUUGGCAGGGCCGACUCUAGGCACCCCACGAUUGGCUGAGUGAUCUCGGGCAAGGACCUAGGCGUCUCUAAGUCUUAGUUUCCCCAUCUGAACACUGGGGAUAAUGACACGUACCUGGGGUGGACAGGCUAGAGUAAAUGGGAAAAUCAAAGCGCCAGCCAGAGCGGGUCGCGCUCAGUUAGUAUUCUGUAUUUUCUCCUCCUGCCUCUUUGGUUUCUUCCGUUCCCUUCUAGCUGCCUGAAGAUCCAGCCCGACAGCGAUGCCUGCCAGCCCGCGUCGCCCACCAGGGCAGCUGCUCUCCCGACUCGCAUGGGGGGCACCACCCCGCCUCGGUGCCCUGGAGCUGAGCGCAGCCGCGGCUCCACGGGGAUCGCCAGGGCCUCAACCCUCGCGGCCGGCGGCGCGCGAGUGUUGCGGGGCAGGGACCAGAGUGCGACCAGAGCGGCCACCCCCGAUUUAGGUCGCCAGCUUUCCAAUCACUGCGAUGGCCACUGGGGCGCCCCUUCCAUCCUGGUUAAAUUAUCAUUGUGAUCCCCAGCCCCCUUCUCGGUUCCCAACACCCAGGAGGCCGGUUCUCCGCCGCUCAGGCCGGGAGAGGUCACAGCUCCGGGCAGGGUGGACCCCCAGCUCCGUCUCGGAGGGCCUUUCGCCGGAGGCGAGCAGGAAGGGGUUAACCAUGAGCCUCCCACCCUCACCUCCCAGCCCCUGGUGCCGGGCGAGCGAAGGCCUCCGCUUCCCUCCUGAGGUCUCAUUAGGAAACCCUCACCGCUAUUUUCAACAUUUCCUCAAUCAAGUGCCUUUAAAUAGAGCUGCACAAACAGAUUGGCGGCAAAAGCGUAGAUCUUGUCACGAUUGAGACCAAUCCAAUAUUUCGGCCUUGUUUGCUUUGCAAUUACGGGUUGGCUUGUGGCUGCGGUGCCACCGGGGCAAAUCUGCAGCCGCUCGCUUUCUCCUCUGCACUCCGGGCGGGUGGAGGAAGCGACCCGCGGAGUCACUGCAGGGAGGAGAGGGGGACGCGCGUGGGGGGAGGCGGCGGAGGGCGGAGGAGCCUCGCUUGCACCCCAGGGCCUCUGGCACGCAGAGCUGUGUUGAAGGACAUACUUUUCAGGUUCCUGACAGUCACUGAGCUAUACGCAAUAAUAAAAUGCGUGAUUCGCGUGUGGAAACCAGUGUCGUGUCCUUACCAGCUUCCUUUUCUGCCCACCUUCCCUCUCUCUUCUACCUCCGUUUCGCUUUUCUUCAGUGUAUGUUAGCGGUUUGCUGGAUUUUCCUUCUCCCUCGCUGUUCAACUGCUAGCAUGAUUUGUUACAUUUUCCACAGCUGUUUAUUCUUGUUUGACUUUUUGUACAAAGUCACUUUAAAUCUGCUGCAGAAAGAAUAAAGCUCCUAGCCCUUUGGAUGGGCUCCUGCAGGCGUGUGGCUGUCCCUGGCCCACUUUUAAUUCUUUGAAAAUGGCUCUUCUGUGUAAAUCAGCUGCUGGGUGCGUUCGGUCACCUCGUAGGCCAGCCUAGUUUGUGUCAGCAGAACAGUAGUGAACUCAAAUCAGGUCGUAAGCCUUAUAUUUCACAGACAAUUAAAUCUUGGCUGCUGUUGAACAAAACUGUAAUAUUUACUCUGCUCUAUACCGAGGAGCACUUUUAAAGUAAAAA
RNAcentral lists this non-coding RNA (2458 nucleotides) under Pongo abelii (Sumatran orangutan). Lineage: Eukaryota; Metazoa; Chordata; Mammalia; Primates; Hominidae. The record is from RNAcentral.